UAGUACAAAAAGUGAAGCAUGUAUGGCAAUGAUCAACAUGCAUAGUCUUAUGCGUAUAAAACACCAGCAGCCUAGAGGUCAAAAUGGUACUUGUGUAAAAAGUCCUGUACUGUACUGACAUCUACUCUUCUGUAGCAUUGGAAUAUAAUAAAUAUUUGUUCAGGGCUAUAACCAUUGUUUACAGGUAAUAAAGGUGAGUAAGGCUCACCCCCACGGUGGUGUCAAUGCAUUCAAAUGUCUACCCAUCAACUUUUGAUGGUACUUCCUGUGCCUACCAAGGAGACCACGGAUAAUCCGGUUUCGAUUCCAGAGAGGGGGCAUGAGAAAUGGCUUCCACAUCCAAGGAAGGCAACAGGCACACACAUUACCCAUUCCCGACCAUGGGAGGUAGUGAUGAAAAAUAACAAUACAGGACUCUUUUGAGGCCCUAUAAUUGGUAUGAGUAAACAGCCCAGGCUGGCUCUCAGUUUA
Molecule: non-coding RNA, 471 nt
Filed under: Chelonia mydas (Green sea turtle)
Lineage: Eukaryota; Metazoa; Chordata; Testudines; Cheloniidae
Description: Eukaryotic small subunit ribosomal RNA
Rfam family: Eukaryotic small subunit ribosomal RNA
Source: Rfam by way of RNAcentral